UACAGAGGGGGCCAGCGUUAUUCGGAAUUAUUGGGCGUAAAGGGCGCGUAGGCGGCCAUGCGUGUCUUUCGUGAAAUCCCUCGGCUUAACUGAGGACGUGCGGAAGAAACUGCAAGGCUUGAGUCCGGGAGAGGGGGGUGGAAUUCCGAGUGUAGAGGUGAAAUUCGUAGAUAUUCGGAGGAACACCAGUGGCGAAGGCGGCUCACUGGUCCGGUACUGACGCUGAGGUGCGAAAGCGUGGGGAGCAAACAGG
Molecule: ribosomal RNA, 253 nt
Filed under: uncultured bacterium
Lineage: Bacteria
Description: partial 16S ribosomal RNA
Rfam family: Bacterial small subunit ribosomal RNA
Source: RNAcentral